RNAcentral lists this ribosomal RNA (376 nucleotides) under uncultured eukaryote. Its description in RNAcentral is "partial 18S ribosomal RNA". It matches the Rfam family "Eukaryotic small subunit ribosomal RNA", at positions 592 to 976 of the family's 1831-position model. The record is from RNAcentral.
CAAGAGCGUAUAUUAAAGUUGCUGCGGUUAAAAAGCUCGUAGUUGGAUUUCAGUCUAGGAAGGUUACCUCGCCGAAAGGUUGUACGUUGAUUUUCCUCAGACUUCGUCAGAAGCUCGUGCUGCACUUAACUGUGUGGUACGAUGUUCUGACCUUUUACCUUGAGGAAAGUAGAGUGUUUCAGGCAGGCUACCCAGCUUGAAUACAUUAGCAUGGAAUAAUGAAAUGGAUCUCGGUUCGAUUUCGUUGGUUCUAGAGCUGAGGUGAUGAUCAAUAGGAACAGGCGAAGGUAUUCGUACUUGAGAGUGAGGAGUGAAAUCCGAUGAUCUCUUAAAGACGAUCCGAGGCGAAAGCAUUUGUCAAGGAUGUUUUCAUUGA